Molecule: ribosomal RNA, 492 nt
Filed under: uncultured bacterium
Lineage: Bacteria
Description: partial 16S ribosomal RNA
Rfam family: Bacterial small subunit ribosomal RNA
Source: RNAcentral
AGUGAACGCUGGCGGUAGGCCUAACACAUGCAAGUCGAACGGCAGCACAGUAAGAGCUUGCUCUUACGGGUGGCGAGUGGCGGACGGGUGAGGAAUACAUCGGAAUCUACUUUUUCGUGGGGGAUAACGUAGGGAAACUUACGCUAAUACCGCAUACCACCUACGGGUGAAAGCAGGGGAUCUUCGGACCUUGCGCGAUUGAAUGAGCCGAUGUCGGAUUAGCUAGUUGGCGGGGUAAAGGCCCACCAAGGCGACGAUCCGUAGCUGGUCUGAGAGGAUGAUCAGCCACACUGGAACUGAGACACGGUCCAGACUCCUACGGGAGGCAGCAGUGGGGAAUAUUGGACAAUGGGCGCAAGCCUGAUCCAGCCAUACCGCGUGGGUGAAGAAGGCCUUCGGGUUGUAAAGCCCUUUUGUUGGGAAAGAAAAGCAGCAGGUUAAUACCCCGCUGUUCUGACGGUACCAAAAGAAUAAGCACCGGCUAACUUCGUG